RNAcentral lists this ribosomal RNA (212 nucleotides) under uncultured Staphylococcus sp. Its description in RNAcentral is "partial 16S ribosomal RNA". It matches the Rfam family "Bacterial small subunit ribosomal RNA", at positions 150 to 355 of the family's 1533-position model. Lineage: Bacteria; Bacillati; Bacillota; Bacilli; Caryophanales; Staphylococcaceae. The record is from RNAcentral.
CGGGAAACCGGAGCUAAUACCGGAUAAUAUUUCGAACCGCAUGGUUCGAUAGUGAAAGAUGGUUUUGCUAUCACUUAUAGAUGGACCCGCGCCGUAUUAGCUAGUUGGUAAGGUAACGGCUUACCAAGGCGACGAUACGUAGCCGACCUGAGAGGGUGAUCGGCCACACUGGAACUGAGACACGGUCCAGACUCCUACGGGAGGCAGCAGCU